GGAGUGGUGUCCGAGUGGUCGAAGGAGCACGAUUGGGAAUCGUGUAAGGGGCAACUCUUCGUGGGUUCGAAUCCCACCCGCUCCGCCA
Molecule: transfer RNA, 88 nt
Filed under: Armatimonadota bacterium
Lineage: Bacteria; Bacillati; Armatimonadota
Description: Armatimonadetes bacterium (bioreactor sludge metagenome) tRNA-Pro
Rfam family: tRNA
About the family: Transfer RNA (tRNA) molecules are approximately 80 nucleotides in length.
Source: RNAcentral